Molecule: ribosomal RNA, 252 nt
Filed under: uncultured bacterium
Lineage: Bacteria
Description: partial 16S ribosomal RNA
Rfam family: Bacterial small subunit ribosomal RNA
Source: RNAcentral
UACGUAGGGACCGAGCGUUGUCCGGAAUCAUUGGGCGUAAAGAGCGUGUAGGCGGCCACUUAAGUCCUGCGUGAAAUCUUGCGGCUCAACCGCAAGCGGUCGUGGGAAACUGGUGGCUAGAGUGCGGGAGAGGAGAGUGGAAUUCCUGGUGUAGCGGUGGAAUGCGUAGAUAUCAGGAGGAACACCGGUGGUGUAGACGGCUUACUGGACCAUAACUGACGCUGAGACACGAAAGCGUGGGUAGCAAACAGG